AGUGAACGCUAGCGGUAGGCCUAACACAUGCAAGUCGAACGGCAGCACAGUAAGAGCUUGCUCUUACGGGUGGCGAGUGGCGGACGGGUGAGGAAUACAUCGGAAUCUACUUUUUCGUGGGGGACAACGUAGGGAAACUUACGCUAAUACCGCAUACGACCUACGGGUGAAAGCAGGGGAUCUUCGGACCUUGCGCGAUUGAAUGAGCCGAUGUCGGAUUAGCUAGUUGGCGGGGUAAAGGCCCACCAAGGCGACGAUCCGUAGCUGGUCUGAGAGGAUGAUCAGCCACACUGGAACUGAGACACGGUCCAGACUCCUACGGGAGGCAGCAGUGGGGAAUAUUGGACAAUGGGCGCAAGCCUGAUCCAGCCAUACCGCGUGGGUGAAGAAGGCCUUCGGGUUGUAAAGCCCUUUUGUUGGGAAAGAAAAGCAGCAGGUUAAUACCCCGCUGUUCUGACGGUACCCAAAGAAUAAGCACCGGCUAACUUCGUG
This 492-nucleotide ribosomal RNA is filed under the name uncultured bacterium. Its description in RNAcentral is "partial 16S ribosomal RNA". It matches the Rfam family "Bacterial small subunit ribosomal RNA", at positions 29 to 507 of the family's 1533-position model. The record is from RNAcentral.